AGUGCACAUUGUUAGAGCUUAAAGUUGAGGCCAUUGACUGGCCGAUGAACUUACAAGUAGAGAUCACGUUCAGGGGCAAUUUUUUCACUAACACCACAAGGGUCUCUGGCCAAUGAGUGGAGUCUGAUAGUAAUCUUUGUUACAAGU
This 147-nucleotide small nucleolar RNA is filed under the name Propithecus coquereli (Coquerel's sifaka). Lineage: Eukaryota; Metazoa; Chordata; Mammalia; Primates; Indriidae. The record is from RNAcentral.